RNAcentral lists this RNase P RNA (395 nucleotides) under zebrafish metagenome. RNAcentral's name for it is "Bacterial RNase P class A". It matches the Rfam family "Bacterial RNase P class A". From Rfam's summary of the family: Ribonuclease P (RNase P) is a ubiquitous endoribonuclease, found in archaea, bacteria and eukarya as well as chloroplasts and mitochondria. Its best characterised activity is the generation of mature 5'-ends of tRNAs by cleaving the 5'-leader elements of precursor-tRNAs. Cellular RNase Ps are ribonucleoproteins. The record is from RNAcentral.
AGGGCUGGAUGACCGCGAGGGGCAACCUUCGAGGAAAGUCCGGACUCCAGGAAGCAAGGGUGCCGGGUAACGCCCGGCGGGGGCAACCCCAGGGAAAGCGCAACAGAGAACAGUCUGCCGCGGUCCGCCGUGGCGAUGGUGAAACGGUGGGGUAAGAGCCCACCACGGGCCUGGCAACAGGAACGGUAUGGCAAGCCCCACCCGGAGCAAUGCCGAAUAGGGGCCUCGCGCGGAAAGGUCCGGACGGACAGCCUCGGCUGCCGGAGACCUCCGCAGGGACGCUUCAGCCCAGGGGCCCGGGUUGGCAGCUUGACCGCCGUGGCAACACGGUCGGCAGAGGAAUGGUCAUCCAGGGGCCGCAAGGCCCGGGACAGAAUCCGGCUUACAGGCUCUCC